This 253-nucleotide ribosomal RNA is filed under the name uncultured bacterium. RNAcentral describes it as "partial 16S ribosomal RNA". It matches the Rfam family "Bacterial small subunit ribosomal RNA", at positions 524 to 776 of the family's 1533-position model. The record is from RNAcentral.
UACGUAGGUGGCAAGCGUUGUCCGGAUUUACUGGGCGUAAAGAGCGCGCAGGCGGUCGUUCAAGUCGCGUGUGAAAGCCCCCGGCUCAACUGGGGAGGGUCACGCGAUACUGAUCGACUCGAAGGCAGGAGAGGGUAGUGGAAUUCCCGGUGUAGUGGUGAAAUUCGUAGAUAUCGGGAGGAACACCGGUGGCGAAGGCGGCGAUCUGGGUCGAUACUGACGCUGAGGUGCGAAAGCGUGGGGAGCAAACAGG